Molecule: ribosomal RNA, 433 nt
Filed under: uncultured bacterium
Lineage: Bacteria
Description: partial 16S ribosomal RNA
Rfam family: Bacterial small subunit ribosomal RNA
Source: RNAcentral
AGCGAACGCUGGCGGCAGGCCUAACACAUGCAAGUCGAACGAACUCUUCGGAGUUAGUGGCGGACGGGUGAGUAACACGUGGGAACGUGCCUUUUGGUUCGGAAUAACUCAGGGAAACUUGUGCUAAUACCGAAUGUGCCCUUCGGGGGAAAGAUUUAUCGCCAUUAGAGCGGCCCGCGUCUGAUUAGUUAGUUGGUGAGGUAACGGCUCACCAAGGCGUCGAUCAGUAGCUGGUCUGCGAGGAUGACCAGGCACACUGGGACUGAGACACGGCCCAGACUCCUACGGGAGGCAGCAGUGGGGAAUCUUGCGGAAUGGGCGAAAGCCAGACGCAGCCAUGCCGCGUGAAUGGUGAAGGUCUUAGGAUUGUAAAAUUCUUUCACCGGAGACGAUAAUGACGGUACCCGGAGAAGAAGCCCCGGCUAACUUCGUG